UGGGGAAUCUUCCGCAAUGGGCGAAAGCCUGACGGAGCAAUGCCGCGUGGAGGUGGAAGGCCUACGGGUCGUCAACUUCUUUUCUCGGAGAAGAAACAAUGACGGUAUCUGAGGAAUAAGCAUCGGCUAACUCUGUGCCAA
RNAcentral lists this ribosomal RNA (141 nucleotides) under uncultured bacterium. RNAcentral's name for it is "partial 16S rRNA". It matches the Rfam family "Bacterial small subunit ribosomal RNA", at positions 355 to 511 of the family's 1533-position model. The record is from RNAcentral.